GGACAUAGCUCAAUUGGUAGGGUGCUUGCCUCACAUGCACAGGCCCUGGGUUCAAUCCCAGUGCCA
This 66-nucleotide transfer RNA is filed under the name Marmota monax (woodchuck). Its description in RNAcentral is "tRNA.Val". The record is from RNAcentral. Lineage: Eukaryota; Metazoa; Chordata; Mammalia; Rodentia; Sciuridae.